CCCGAAUCGAUUGCCGGAACAACACAAACACAAAGCGAUGAAUUCCGGCUGUCGGCCGUGGACUCUCAUAGCAAACAAUUUCAUUGCCUGAAAAAAACAAAGAAGAUAAUUAAAGGUCCUGGUGGAAGAGGUUGCAGAUGAAGUUGAGUGAUAGAAGAAAUAGCCAUUGUGGAUGCCAUUCAGCUAGUAUAGAUUCUACAGUAAAAGAUGCAUGAUGAAGGAUUGGAGACUUGUCAUGCUGCUGUUCUCACUCACCAAAGCUGGUGUUCUUUGUUUCUGGUGCUCUCUUUCGGUUGGAUUGCUGGGGCUUGGUGCAUCUGGAUCCACCAUGACCUUGUAAAAUCGUCAGG
Musa acuminata AAA Group (dessert banana) is the source of this 350-nucleotide long non-coding RNA. RefSeq lists it as uncharacterized. Lineage: Eukaryota; Viridiplantae; Streptophyta; Magnoliopsida; Zingiberales; Musaceae. The record is from RefSeq and is a predicted model, not a curated record. The transcript has 3 exons.